AAACUGGGUUUAAUACCGUAUACGCCCUUCGGGGGAAAGAAUUUCGGUGAGGGAUCGGCCCGCGUUAGAUUAGUUAGUUGGUGGGGUAAUGGCCUACCAAGACUACGAUCUAUAGCUGGUUUGAGAGGAUGAUCAGCAACACUGGGACUGAGACACGGCCCAGACUCCUACGGGAGGCAGCAGUGGGGAAUCUUAGACAAUGGGGGCAACCCUGAUCUAGCGAUGCCGCGUGAGUGAUGAAGGCCUUAGGGUCGUAAAGCUCUUUCGCCUGUGAUGAUAAUGACAGUAGCAGGUAAAGAAACCCCGGCUAACUCCGUGCCAGCAGCCGCGGUAAUACGGAGGGGGUUAGCGUUGUUCGGAAUUACUGGGCGUAAAGCGCACGUAGGCGGAUUAGUCAGUCAGAGGUGAAAUCCCAGGGCUCAACCCUGGAACUGCCUUUGAUACUGCUAGUCUUGAGUUCGAGAGAGGUAAGUGGAAUUCCGAGUGUAGAGGUGAAAUUCGUAGAUAUUCGGAGGAACACCAGUGGCGAAGGCGGCUUACUGGCUCGAUACUGACGCUGAGGUGCGAAAGUGUGGGGAGCAAACAGGAUUAGAUACCCUGGUAGUCCACACCGUAAACGAUGAAUGCCAGUCGUCGGGUAGCAUGCUAUUCGGUGACACACCUAACCGGAUUAAGCAUUCCGCCUGGGGGAGUAC
RNAcentral lists this ribosomal RNA (695 nucleotides) under Celeribacter sp. Its description in RNAcentral is "bacterial SSU rRNA". It matches the Rfam family "Bacterial small subunit ribosomal RNA", at positions 154 to 883 of the family's 1533-position model. The record is from RNAcentral. Lineage: Bacteria; Pseudomonadati; Pseudomonadota; Alphaproteobacteria; Rhodobacterales; Roseobacteraceae.